GAUGAACGCUGGCGGCAUGCCUAAUACAUGCAAGUCGAACGAGAGGAAGGAAAGCUUGCUUUCCUGAAUCUAGUGGCGAACGGGUGAGUAACACGUAGGUAACCUGCCCAUGUGCCUGGGAUAACUUCUGGAAACGGAUGCUGAAACCGGAUAGGUAGCAGACAAGCAUUUGACUGCUAUUAAAGUGGCCUUGGCCAUGAACAUGGAUGGACCUGCGGUGCAUUAGCUGGUUGGUGAGGUAACGGCCCACCAAGGCGACGAUGCAUAGCCGGCCUGAGAGGGCGGACGGCCACAUUGGGACUGAGACACGGCCCAAACUCCUACGGGAGGCAGCAGUAGGGAAUUUUCGUCAAUGGGGGAACCCUGAACGAGCAAUGCCGCGUGAGUGAGGAAGGUCUUCGGAUCGUAAAGCUCUGUUGUAAGAGAAAAACGGCUCUCAUAGGGAAUGAUGAGUGAGUGAUGGUAUCUUACCAGAAAGUCACGGCUAACUACGUGCCAGCCGCCGCAGUAA
RNAcentral lists this ribosomal RNA (511 nucleotides) under uncultured bacterium. Its description in RNAcentral is "partial 16S ribosomal RNA". It matches the Rfam family "Bacterial small subunit ribosomal RNA", at positions 28 to 523 of the family's 1533-position model. The record is from RNAcentral.